RNAcentral lists this ribosomal RNA (446 nucleotides) under uncultured bacterium. Its description in RNAcentral is "SSU rRNA". It matches the Rfam family "Bacterial small subunit ribosomal RNA", at positions 26 to 518 of the family's 1533-position model. The record is from RNAcentral.
AGAACGAACGCUGGCGGCAGGCCUAGUACAUGCAAGUCGAGCGCCCAGCAAUGGGAGCGGCGGACGGGUGAGCAACACGUGGGAACAUGCCCUUCGGUACGGAACAACUCAGGGAAACUUGAGCUAAUACCGCAUACGCCCCGCAAGGGGGAAAGAUUUAUCGCCGAAGGAUUGGCCCGCGUCCGAUUAGCUAGUUGGUGAGGUAAAAGCCCACCAAGGCACCGAUCGGUAGCUGGUUUGAGAGAACGACCAGCCACACUGGGACUGAGACACGGCCCAGACUCCUACGGGAGGCAGCAGUAGGGAAUCUUGGACAAUGGGGGAAACCCUGAUCCAGCCAUGCCGCGUGAGUGAUGAAGGCCUUCGGGUUGUAAAACUCUUUCGGCGGGGACGAUAAUGACGGUACCCGCAGAAGAAGCUCCGGCUAGCUUCGUGCCAGCAGCCGC